UCCAUAGUAAUUAUUGCUAUUCAAGGUUCCUUUUAAGAUGAAGUAGCUUCUCCCUUGUUUUUCAGGGGAGACAGGAUUUUUUGGCAGUCAUUCUCUAUUGUGUGCCUCAGCAGCAGCACGUGUGUAGAGUGUUUUUUCUAUGACCAAGUGGAGGAUCCAGCUGGCAGUAGCAGCCAUGUAGGACCCUUCAGGAACCUGAUGGUAAG
Long non-coding RNA from Gopherus flavomarginatus (Mexican gopher tortoise), 206 nucleotides. RefSeq lists it as uncharacterized. The transcript is spliced from 2 exons. The record is from RefSeq and is a predicted model, not a curated record. Lineage: Eukaryota; Metazoa; Chordata; Testudines; Testudinidae.